GUCUCAUUUAAAAUUUAUAUAGAAUUUUAUUUUUUAGUUAAAAAGCUAAAAUAAUUUCAAAAGACGAGAAGACCCUAUAAAUCUUAAUUAUUUAGUAAUUUUUAAUUUAUUUUGGUUAAUUAUAUUAUUAAUAGUUAAAUAAUUUUAUUGGGGUGAUAUUAAAAUUUAAUAAACUUUUAAUUAUUUUAUACAUUUAUUUAUGAAUAAUUGAUCCAUUAAUAGUGAUUAAAAAAUUAAGUUACUUUAGGGAUAACAGCGUAAUUUUUUUGGAGAGUUCUUAUCGAUAAAAAAGUUUGCGACCUCGAUGUUGGAUUAAGAUUCAUAUUUAAAUGCAGAAGUUUAAAUAUAAAGUCUGUUCGACUUUUUAUUCUUACAUGAUCUGAGUUCAGACCGGCGUAAGCCAGGUUGGUUUCUAUCUUUGAUUUAUAUAAAAUAUUUUAGUACGAAAGGAAUUAAUAUUUAAUUUUUAAAAUUUAUUUUAUUAUGAAU
This 489-nucleotide ribosomal RNA is filed under the name Megalabops sp. KCADI046-14. Its description in RNAcentral is "partial 16S ribosomal RNA". The stretch from base 249 to 407 matches the Rfam family "Bacterial large subunit ribosomal RNA", at positions 2473 to 2632 of the family's 2925-position model. Lineage: Eukaryota; Metazoa; Arthropoda; Insecta; Diptera; Diopsidae. The record is from RNAcentral.